CAGUCGCCACGGUAAUACAGAGGGUGCGAGCGUUAAUCGGAUUUACUGGGCGUAAAGCGUGCGUAGGCGGCUAAUUGAGUCGGAUGUGAAAUCCCCGAGCUUAACUUGGGAAUUGCAUUCGAUACUGGUUAGCUAGAGUGUGGGAGAGGAUGGUAGAAUUCCAGGUGUAGCGGUGAAAUGCGUAGAGAUCUGGAGGAAUACCGAUGGCGAAGGCAGCCAUCUGGCCUAACACUGACGCUGAGGUACGAAAGCAUGGGGAGCAAACAGGAUUAGAUACCCCAGUAGUCCCUGUCUCUUAUAU
This 301-nucleotide ribosomal RNA is filed under the name uncultured bacterium. RNAcentral's name for it is "partial 16S ribosomal RNA". It matches the Rfam family "Bacterial small subunit ribosomal RNA", at positions 509 to 809 of the family's 1533-position model. The record is from RNAcentral.